Molecule: non-coding RNA, 214 nt
Organism: Pelobates cultripes (western spadefoot toad)
Lineage: Eukaryota; Metazoa; Chordata; Amphibia; Anura; Pelobatidae
Source: the annotation of a GenBank genome assembly
AGAAGAGGAAUCAGUCAGGAGCUAUUAACAGUUUAAUUGAUACGCUUUUAUGAAGAAGUGGGUUUUUAACAAUUUUUUUUUAAGGAGUGCAGACUGGGUGAGCAUCUAACGGAGGAAGGAAGCGAGUUCCACAGGAACGGUGCAGCCCUCGAGAAAUCUUGAAGGCGAGCAUCAGAGGUGGGAGUACGGACAGAAGAUAGACGUAAGUCUUCAG